This 25-nucleotide non-coding RNA is filed under the name Mus musculus (house mouse). The record is from RNAcentral. Lineage: Eukaryota; Metazoa; Chordata; Mammalia; Rodentia; Muridae.
UGGUCUACAUAGAAGCAACACUCUU